AUAUACAUACAUACAUAGACUGAAUCCUCACACGAAGAGCCCUACAGGCGUGAUAACAGUAAGGGAGGUGCAAGAAAGGUCUCCUUGGAGUUGGGAGGCGUAUUUACAGCUACUAGAGAAGGGGGAAGUGCCAGCUCCCCGAGAAGAAAGCAGGAGGAUGCUGAGAGACUGAAGCUGAAAUUUUCUGCCUGCUUCCUCACUCAUUUCGUUGGUUUCAGCCGUCUGAAAAACCCUUGUGAGAGGAGCAAAAAGGUCAAAGGAAGAUUGUUGCCUUGCUCUCAGUCUUCAAAAUUUUCGUUCCUCUGUUUUUUUUGUUUUGAGACGCAGUCUCGCUCUGUCGCCCAGGCUGGAGUGCAGUGGCGCGAUCUCGGUCACUGCAACCUCCGCCUCCCUGGUUCUAGCGAUUCUUCUGCCUCAGCCUCCUGAGUAGCUGGGACUACAGGCGCGUGCCACCACACCCGGCUAAUUUUUUUGUACUUUUGGUAGGGACGGGGUCUCACGGUGUUAGCCAGGAUGGUCUCUAUCUCCUGAACUCGUGAUCCGCUCGCCUCGGCCUCCCAAAGUGCUGGGAUUACAGGCGUGAGCCACCGCGCCCGGCCGGUCCUCUGUUUUUAAACUGUAAAGGACUCCACCGGAUUGUUCGAAGUCUCCGAUGUCCCGCGAUCUGGUGGCCGCAGAAGAAAGAGGCCGAGUCGGCGGGGACUGGGUACCACCAGUUAGCGGCCUACGGGCAACCUCCCGGACGCGCGCGCCGGACUGACGUUAAACAGAAAACAGUUGUUUGGUUUUGAAGAUAAUCAGUUACCCCUCUAGAGAGUUCUAACAGGCAAGGAACUGAGUCCUCCACCCAAAAGUCAGCUUGAACUUGCCAGAUAUGCGAGUGUGCCACCUUGGAAGGGAAUCCUCCAGCUACAGUCAAGGAUUGGGAUGAUUGCAGCCUAUGUUUACAACUUGACUUCAACCUCAAGGAAGACCCUGAGCCAUAACCACCUAGCUAAAUCACUUCUGGAUUCCUGACUCACAGAAAUUAGUUUUGGGAUAAUUUGUUACAUGGCAAUAGAUAACAUAAUAGACAUGGGGAGCCCCACAAUUAAGCUUACAGAGCUACCAUAAUUUUUAUAAUGAAACUUGAAAAAGAUGGAGUUUCACUCUUGUUGCCCAGACUGGAGGACAAUUGCGUGAUCUUGGCUUAAUGCAACCUCUGCCUCCUGGGUUCAAGUGAUUCUCCUGCCUCACCCUCCUGAGUAGUUGAGAUUACAGGUGCAUGCCACCACGCCUGGAUGAUUUUUGUAUUUUUAGUAGAGACGGGGUUUCACCAUAUUGGCCAGGCUGUUCUCGAACUCCUGAGCUCAGGUGAUCUGCCUGCCUCAGCCUCCCAAAGUGCUGGGAUUACGGGAGUGAGCCACUGUGCCUGGCCUCUUUUUCUUUUUUCAAAAAGACACUAGUCAUUUCAAGUCUGUAUUUUUUUUUUUUUUUUUUUUUGAGACAGAGUCUCAUUCUGUGGCCCAGGCUGGAGUGCAGUGGCACGAUCUUGGCUCACUGCAACCUCCGCCUCCUGGGUUCAUGCGAUUCUCCUGCCUCAGCCU
This 1586-nucleotide non-coding RNA is filed under the name Pongo abelii (Sumatran orangutan). The record is from RNAcentral. Lineage: Eukaryota; Metazoa; Chordata; Mammalia; Primates; Hominidae.